CCUACGGGAGGCAGCAGUAGGGAAUCUUUCACAAUGGGCGAAAGCCUGAUGGAGCAACGCCGCGUGCAGGAUGAAGGCCCUCGGGUUGUAAACUGCUUUUAUAAGCGAGAAAUAUGAUGGCAACUUAUGAAUAAGGAUCGGCUAACUACGUGCCAGCAGCAGCGGUCAUACGUAGGAUGCGAGCAUUAUCCGGAGUGACUGGGUGUAAAGAGUUGCGUAGGUGGCAUAAUAAGUAGCUAGUGAAAUCUGGUGGCUCAACCAUUCAGACUAUUGGCUAAACUGUUAAGCACGAGACCGUUAGAGGUAAGUGGAAUGUCUAGUGUAGGAGUGAAAUCCGUAGAUAUUAGAAGGAACACCGAUAGCGUAGGCAGGUUACUGGGACGGUUCUGACACUAAGGCACGAAAGCGUAGGGAGCGAACGGGAUUAGAUACCCGAGUAGUC
This 442-nucleotide ribosomal RNA is filed under the name uncultured bacterium. RNAcentral describes it as "partial 16S ribosomal RNA". It matches the Rfam family "Bacterial small subunit ribosomal RNA", at positions 338 to 795 of the family's 1533-position model. The record is from RNAcentral.